CAUACCACCCUGAACGCGUCUCAUCUCAUCUGAUCUUGGAAGGUAAGCAGGUUGGGCCUGGUUAGUACUUGGAUG
RNAcentral lists this ribosomal RNA (75 nucleotides) under Ailuropoda melanoleuca (giant panda). Lineage: Eukaryota; Metazoa; Chordata; Mammalia; Carnivora; Ursidae. The record is from RNAcentral.